GUAGUCAUAUGCUUGUCUCAAAGAUUAGGCCAUGCAUGUCUAAGCACAAGCAAUUAUACAGCGAAACUGCGAAUGGCUCAUUAAAUCAGUUAUCGUUUAUUUGAUAGUACCUUACUACUUGGAUAACCGUGGUAAUUCUAGAGCUAAUACAUGCUAAAAACCCCGACUCACGAAGGGGUGUAUCUAUUAGAUUAAAAACCAAUGCCCUUCGGGGCUCACUGGUGAUUCAUAAUAACUUGUCGAAUCGCAUGGCCUUGCGCCGGCGAUGGUUCAUUCAAAUUUCUGCCCUAUCAACUUUCGAUGGCAGGGUCUUGGCCUGCCAUGGUUACAACGGGUAACGGAGGGUUAGGGCUCGACCCCGGAGAAGGAGCCUGAGAAACGGCUACUACAUCCAAGGAAGGCAGCAGGCGCGCAAAUUACCCAAUCCCGAUUCGGGGAGGUAGUGACAAUAAAUACUGAUACAGGGCUCUUUUGGGUCUUGUAAUUGGAAUGAGUACAAUUUAAAUCCCUUAACGAGGAACAAUUGGGGGGCAAGUCUGGUGCCAGCAGCC
Molecule: ribosomal RNA, 551 nt
Filed under: uncultured eukaryote
Lineage: Eukaryota
Description: SSU rRNA
Rfam family: Eukaryotic small subunit ribosomal RNA
Source: RNAcentral